AAAAGAAAGAAAACCAAUGUCCUAAAUAAGUUCUUAUGUUUCUUUUUUCUUCUGAGGUCAAGUUCAUUAUUGUAACUUUGUGAGUGUUUUUCAUAGUGCCAUUGCCAAAUGACAUUAAAAUUACUAAUACAGAAGUAGAUUAAGAGAACAUGAUUAAGAUUGCAAAGUCAGGAAAAAUCAUAAUUAAGGUUGCCUGUGCAAUUUUAACUCAGUUCCUGUGUGGAUAUCCAUCCUGAUAAGAGGGUUUAAUUACGUAGCCAUGGUCUUUUUCUUUUCUUUUUUUCCUCAGGACACUUCCCAAUCACUGAGCACCAUUUUACUGACUCUUCUCAAAGUGGUUAUAUUUUCAUGGGUAUUUAUUUUUUUAUUAUUAUUUUUUAUUUUUAUUUUUUUAUUCAGAGGGCAGAGGAGAAAUAAUAAGAUUCUUACACUUAAGAAUCGGGAUGUUAAAGUGCUGACAUUACGAUUUCACCAUAUUGUAACUUCUGUAGAACAUAAGUUUCUUAACUGUAACAAAAUGCCCAACUAGUGCUUUUGGGAGGGAGCCAACACUGUUCCCUGUCUUCCUCAGUCCCACAGAAAUCAAAUUCAAGUCCCACUAUCUGUGUGUGUGUGUAUAUAUAAUUUAUAUGUAUAAAUAAAAGCAUCGUGAAGCAGAAGUGUGAAUGAAACUGUAAAUAUGACUUUAUGGUGGAAACUUUGGGCAGUGGUUUCAUUGUUUCUCAUUUCAACCUUUUUGAAAAUGCUGCAAAGGAAUCGAGAAGUAAAUGGAAAGUUUCUGAAUUUAUUUUCCUUACUGGAACUCCUUAGAUUAUGUCAUUUUAAAAACUGUGACACCGAGCUACAAACGUGGUGAACGGUCUGGAGGGAAAAACAUAUGAGGAGUAGCUGAGGUCCACUGGUCAGUUUGUUCAGCUAAGAGGAGGCUGAGGGAAGGCCUCAUUGUGGCUUACAGUUGGACUCAGUGAUCCUUAUGGGUCCCUUCCAAUUCAGGAUGUUCCAAUUCAGAUGACUCUGUGAUUCUGUUAUUUUUAGUGUUGCUUUUCUUUGUGUACUGUGGGUUGGACCCCAUUCAUUUUUUUUUUCCUCAUUAUACAAGAACUCCAGCAUAAUUCUAAAAAGGCUGGUAAGAAGUUCACAAAUAAGGAAUUGAUUUUAAAUACAAUUUUUUUAAAACAUCUGCUUGAUUCUCAGUGUAGUUUUGUAUUUUGCAAAAUUAAGAUAUUAUCACUUAAGUUGAUUAUGAAAACUCUAAAAGCAGAUAAAAUUAGGAAGAACUUAACCAGAAAGAAUGGAAAUCUACCCUACUGGUACCAGUUUGGCAUUCACAAGUUGAUUUUUAUAAAUCUUCAGUUGACCUUUUUGACAGGAGCCUUUUGAAGUUCAGUGACAAUGAAUAUGAAGCUCUGUACCUGGAACUGAGGAACUGCUGUUAAAGCAUGGGCUGUGGCUUGCCAGGCUGGGGAGCAGCUCUGAUCAAAGCAGCCUAGUGGUCUUGCUGGACCAGUGUGUCUGAUCAUGUUUCUUCUUGUACCACAUCUGCCUUUUGAAGAAGGGAGGGGGGGAAGCCACAUGUUUUCAGGCUGUGGAACUACUAAAGUGUCUGAAUAAAGGAAUUAUUGGUAAAAAAUCUUUCAGAAAUAAUAUUGUGGAAGAAACUACUACUGAAAAACAAUGAGGUUUCUGCUCAAGGUUUUCUAGUCCUGACAUAACAUGGUACUGUUCAUUAGCCUGACGGUUUCUGUAUCAUGCUGGUUUGUGUCUGGCCAAGAAGGUGCAUGUAUAAAGAUUGCUUCUACAAGUCUGUAUCUGUCUGCAGAGCUGAACCUCAAUUAUCAUAUCUGACAAAGAAUAAGCUGUUAUUAUAGUAAAAAUUACAUGGGAGGUCUUUAAAAUAAGCCUUCUCCUUGCUGACUGACAGGAGAGGCUGAGUGGCUUUAACAUAGUGCACCAAAGUGUAUUCCUGAAUUGGUUUCACCUUUAUUUCAGAGACACGAAAAGGAUGAUCAUUUAAUAAUUUCAUAUAAGCGUUGUCACGAUCAAGGGAAGAAUGCGAUUCAUUUAAAUUUGGAAGAGAAUCUGAGUGACUGCUUUGCAUCAGUAAACUUCAGAGUGCUCUGUAAUUCAUCGUGCUCAACAGGAAGAAAAACAAGUUGAAGAAAGUGAAUAUAUAAUGCUGUUAGAACAGUUUUGAAUUUAGCUGAACUUUACUCUUCAGUUCACUGACUGGUGUGACAUUAAGAACACAAGAAAGCAGCACCCAGAGUGCUAGCCUUCAACAAUGGUUACUGUAGUCCUCAGAGGAAAGGAUUUGAGUGCUUACUGGGAGGACCAGCACAGCUUCUUCCCAGGAGGUAUGUCACAGUCUGUGGUUGUGGGAACCCCUGGCUAUGUGUCUGUUAGAAAAAGGAACGUGCCUGAGACUGUACUUCAGUGAUGAGAGUAUUAGAUGUAUAUGUCCAAUGUCUGUGUCCAUGUUCUGAAACAGAGGCUGCUUCAAAAAUAUCUUUGGAAAGUGUCUUAGCUGAUGUUAAGUCUUGAGUCAUGCCUGUGCCCAAUCUAGCAAUUUAGAUCAAUCUAGCAGUUUAGCAAUUGGCUUCUAGUACAACUUUACUUUUAGAGAUCCCAUGGAAUUAUAUUACAAAAGGUGGUCCUCACCUAACUUAUGGAAAUAAUAAACUAAAUCCUUGGAUCAUUCACACUUAUCAAAUAUUCGAAGUGUAAAAGCCAUAUGGAAGCAAGGCUUUUUUCAUGCCUCUAAAAUUUCUUGGAAUUGUUUCUUGGUAUGGAGAAUAUCUUUCAGGAAACAUGCUUAGAAUAGUCACAAAAGCAAUGAAUAGCCCUGAAAAUAGUGGCCAUCUUCCUGAUAAUAGUUCAGCACUCUCCCUUUUCAUGUAAUGCAUGCUUAACAUAUCAUAAGCGUGUUUUAAACAGUAUGAGAGUGUCCCAUAUUUGUUGUAAUGGCCCCUGAUGUCAUCCCAAAUUUUACUUUUAUUGUCUAACAAAAUUAAAAAAAAAAAAUUAUUGGAAAUAAUUGCAUGCUUUUCUUUUUCAGUUAUACUCAGUGCUCUCAGUCAGGCCCUCACACAGCCUGUGUUUGGCUGAAUUCUCCUUGGAGAGCUUAAGAGACUUCAGAGGCAUUUCUGAAAGCAUUUGGAUUAAAUACAGAGUACAGAAAAGAGAAAGGUGGUUGUUAGCAUUUGAUUUUGAUUCUUUUUUUGUUCUGUACUGUAACAUCGAUAGCUUGGGAACUGGCUUAAACAGUUCAUGGUAAAUGCUCUGCUGGGCGUACUAUUACAGUUAAAAUUUAAUAUUUAAAAUUUAAUAAUUUUAAUAUCCUAUAGGGAAUCAUCUGUGUUGUUAUACAUAAAUGAGGAUGACAAAACACUUUUUCAGGUGGAGUAAAUAACUUCGAUAUAUGCAUAUUUAUCCCAUUUAUUCCUCACAUUUUCUGCUGUCUAUUUUAUCAUAAAUACAGAAACUAGCUUCAAUCCCUAAAGUAAGAAAUCGAAUGUAAGAAUGCAGACCACACUCACAGAUUUCUGAAAUUCUAGGGAAAACUGUAAUUUAGAUUUUCUAAGUGGAAUCACAGUUCUUAUAUUCAAGACAUGACUUUUAUUUAUUUUUCAGCAGGUAACUAGGAGAGGUGAGCUAAAGUUUCAUAUAGUUUAUGAAAACAAUAUUUUAUCAUUUUGAUAUUUGUCUUCUCUCAACCGCAGUUUCUAUUAGUGUCGUGUACAAUUAGGUCUGAUUAUUAAUGGUUUCAUAAGAACAUUUUUCCUCUCUUCUGUUUUAUUGUUCAUUCUGUCUGGAAAGGAGAAUUCUUGUGAAAAAGAAAGGAAGCCCAGUUGCCUGAAUAUAAUUAUAUUGUAAUCUUAUCAUAAGCAGAGAUUUUAGAUUUUAGUUGAUUUAAAGUAUUUUUCUUCAGUAAUCUAAGUGAAAAGAAUCUAUGCCAUUUUUUCAUGUCUUUACCUAAUUGUUACUUCCUCUUACAAGUUGUCAUUCAUGAGUCGGUAUUGGGAUCUGUCCGGUUUAGUAUCUUUAUUGAUGACCUGGACCUGGAUGAGGGGAUUGAGUGCAGGUGUAAGUUUGUACCUCAGUAAGUUUGCAGGUGACACCAAGAUGGGAGCAAAUCUCGGUCUGCCUGGGGGUAGGAGGGCCCUACAGAGUGGUCUGGACAGGCUGGAUUGUUGGGCUGAGGCCAGUGCUAUGAAAUUCAACAAGCCCAAGUGCUGAGUUGUGCACUUUGAUCAGAACAAUCCCAGGCAGUGCUACAGGCUUGGGGCAGAGUGGCUGGAAGAUUGUGAGGAAGAAAUGGACCUGGGGAUGUUGGUGGAUGCUCAGUUAAACAUGAGCCAGCAGUGUGCCCAGGUGGUCAAGAAGGCCAAUGGUGUCCUGGCUUGUACCAUUGCCAGCAGGAGCAUGGAAGUGAUCAUCCCACUGUACUCAACACUGGUGAGGCUGUACUUCAAGUACUGUGUUCUGUUUUGGGCCCCUCACUAGAAGAAAGACAUUGAGGCCCUGGAGCAUGUCCAGAGAAGGGUAAUGAAGCAGUGAGGGGUCUGGAGCACAAGUCUUGUGGGGAGUGGCUGGAACUGGGAUUGUUUAGUCUAGAGAAGAGAAGGCUCGGGGGACACCUUAUUGCCCUUUAUAACCACCUGAAUGGAGGUUGUGGUGAGGUGGGGGUUAGCCUGUUCUCCCAUGUAACUAGCAAUAGGAUGAGAGGGAAUGGUCUGAAGUUGUACCAGGGGAGGUUCAGGUUGGAUAGCAGGAAAAAAUUCUUCUCUGAAAGAGUGGUCAGGCUGCCUGGGGAGGUGGUGGAGUCACUAUCCCUGGAGGCAUUUAAGGAACAUGUAGGUAUGGUACUAAGGGGCACUUUAUUGGGAAAUAUUGGUGGUGGGUGGUCAGUUGGACUAGAUGAUCUUUGUGUCCUUUUCCAAGCAUAAUGUUUCUAUUAUUCUAUUAUCAUCAUCAUCAUUGUUUAUCUAUUUAUUUAUCAAUUUAUUUAUUCAGUAGGUUAGCUUUCUCUUACCCUUGUUGGUAGUAAAACCCUUAAUGCCACAGUGACCAAUAGAAGAUCAUUGCAUCUAGCACCAGGAGACAAAGAAGCAAGGAGGGAUCUGUGAAAAAUGCCUGCAAGAAGCAAAGCACAGUGUAGAUGGAGAUGAUUCAUGUCUCUGCACUGAUUCUUCAGUAAAAGGUAGCAGAGCAGAACCAGAGACCAUUGUCACUCAUCUUGAAUUCAUUUUUACCUGAUGUCUAAAGUAUUUCCCUGCUUCCCACUGGAGCUUUGAAAUGGGCUACAUGUUUGAGUACUCCUUUUUUUUUUUUUCUUUUUUUUUCUUUUUUUUUUUUUAAUUCCAGCCAAAAAAAGUGAGAGUAAAAAAGGCAGCUAGCAGAGGGAGAAGCUGCAGGCAAGUAAUGCAGAAAAAAAAACCAUUUGCCCAUAUGUUUGUCCAUCCAUUUAAACUUUCACAGAUUUUUGUGCAAACUGAUUUAGGAUAAAGGUUUGUCAAAAGUAUGUAAUGAUCUGAAGUUCCUGGAUCACUUAAAUUGUUUAGAAAAUGUUGCUAGACAUCGAAGCGUCCAUAUUUGAACAGAGAAACAGGUUGCAUUUAACAUAGCUGCUGACAAUUUUUUUUUUUUUUUUUGCUUUUUUCUAUGAUUAUUUUAGUCUCUUUCUUGAAAAAAUAUAUAUUUUCUUCUGCAAGUCUCCCACUGAUUGUUUGAUUUAGUAACUUAGGUCUAUCUGACUCCCAUUCAAGUGUGAAUUCACGUCAUUAAAAUCUGCUGAUGAUUUUCGGUGGAGAAGAAUCAAACCUAUUGGCCUUCAUCUUACAGUGCUCGUGAAGUUUGCUCAGAGACUCAAAGUAAGCAAAUUUAAGCUUGAACAGAUAAAAAUGUGAUUGGGCUGAGAGUGUGUUCCUGGAUUUCAGUGUUCUCUUCCAGCACAAACAACCACAACCUUCUUACAAGCUGAUUUUUCUUGGUUUUAAACCAGUGCUAUGGCUAUCGCUGUUACUAUUACCAGAAAAAUGCUCUGAAUUUUCUUGCCCUUCUGAUUGAAACCUUUACCACCAUUCUAGCUCAUGCCUGCGGGAAAAGAGACUUGGGAUCUGCAUCUGUUUUUUUUCUGAUAGUUAAUUUCUUUUCAGCUUCACCUGAAGUCUAGGGUUUAACACUGUUGAGGUAUUGACCCAGGAUCUCUCUCACAACUUAAGUUUAAAUUUCAUUUCACUGGGGAGUGGAUUACCUUGUUAAAUUUUCUGGGAAAAGCACAUGUAUUUUUAUAGCUGCUGAAGCUCCAUACAUGUUACUAAGAGUAGAACAGCUGAGACUUCCAAGUGUUCAGCCAGGCUUCCUUUCUUGUUUAUGGUAGCUGCCUGUUGCUGCCAACUUCAAUAACUGAAUCCUUCUAGAAAAUGACUUCUUAUAAAACUUCUGGCCAUGUAGAAUAAUGUCAUUGUUACUUUGCACUACCACACUGCAUAAGUUUUAUUAUAUGAUUUAGGCUAAGUAUGCUGUUGACAGCUUAAAAGGGAGCUGCUAAAGCCAGUGGAUCUAAUGCUGUAGAAGCAUUGAUUUCCUACCCAAAAAGUGACAGACAAUGAGGGCUGGUAAUUGUAAUGCCAUAGGAAAGUAAAGAAUGGCCCGUUUCUUGUUGUACAAGUAGGAUGCAAUCUUUUUAUGCUAAGUUCUCAGCUUGACACAUACAGGAGCCUCUAUGCUUUGCAUGUUAGAAGAAUAAGCUUGCCAGUCAUGGAAUGGCUUAGGUUGAAGGGGACCUUAAAAAUCAUCUAGUUCCAAUUUCCCUCCAUAGGCAAGGCUGCCAACUACUAGAUCAGGUUGCCCAGGAUCCUGUCCAGCUUUACCUUGAAUGCCUGCAGGGAUAGGGCAUCCACAGCCUUUCUGGACAGCCUGUUCCAAUACCUCACCACCAUCUGAGUAAAAAAUUUCUUCCUAAUAUCUAACCUAAAUCUCCCCUCUUUUAGUUUGAAGCCAUUCCCUCUUGUCCUAUUGCUAUCAGACCGUGUAAAAUGUUUGUUCUCCUCCUACUUAUAAGCAGUCAAAUACCUUCAAGUACUCAAAUUCAAGGCCACAGUGAGGUCUCCAUGGGGUUCUCCAAUCUAAAAAAAUCCCAACUCCUUCAACCUUUCCUCAUAGGAGAGGCACUCCAGCCUUUUCAUCAUCUUUGUGGCCCUCCUCUGGACUCACUCCAACAGCUUUACAACUUUCUUGUGCAGAGGGCCUCAGGCUUAGACACAGUACUCCAGAUGAUGCCUUACAGGGGCAGAGCAGAGAUGGGCAGUCCCUUCCCACUCUCUGCUGGCCACUCCUCUGUUGAUGCAGCCCAGGAUACCAUUGGCCUUCUGGGCUACAAGAGCACGCUGCUGGCUCAUGUUCAGCUUUUUGUCCAUCAGGACCUCCAAUUCCUCCUCCACAGGUCUGCUCUCUAUGAGUUCUUCCAGUCUAUACUUGUAUCUGGGAUUUCCUUGACUCAAGUGCAAAACAUUGCACUUGGCCUUGUUAAAAUAAUGUAAACAUAACAUAAUCAUGACAAACAUUAUGCUUCUUGAUUCUAUGUGUUGUAAGGUCCUUACUGCUGCAGAGGGGAACUGGGAUCAGAACUACACAUCCAGCACAGUGCCCUCUGGAACGGGAUCAGCAAAUAGGGACUGAGAUCCCGUAGGCCACAUGGGGACCAUAAGAUAAGGAACACACAAUCACGUAGGAGAAGUCUGAUUUAAGGGACCCCUGUGACUAAACACUGACAGUAUAACACAGGAACUCUAGCAGAUGUGAGACUAAAACUUAACUCUUCGAGUGUUGUCUGUAAAAAAGCAUAAUGCAUGUAGAAGUGUUUUAUUCAAACCAGGCAUCUCGUGCAAGAUUUUAAACCACAGCAAGUGACCAGCAUGCAGAUGGCAGUAACAGACCAUUGCCACGUGACUGGGGCUGGUAAGAGAUGAUAUUCAUUCUUAACAGUGGGCUUCACGGUUAAUUCUUAAUGAUGGGAAAAUGCUUGCAACUCUUCUAUUUGGUUAUUUCAGGCUGCUCAUGCCUUUCCUUUGACACUGUCUCUUGACAUUAAAAUGAAACCCAAGGUGUCAUUGGCUAGCCAUAUCAGCUCUGCCUAAAAUAUCAGAUUUAAGUCUUGAUAUUCAUGAUUUUGUUAUGAAAUACAGUACACUAAAAAAAUCAUAUUGUGGCUGUUGCAAUUAAGUACUCUAAAUAUGGAUUCCUAAAUGAAAAGGUCAGCAAAGAACCCCAAUAUCCUGUAUUUUGCUUUGUUUACUCGUUAUGUAGAUAAUGAACAUGAAUGUUGUUGUUGUAAGAACUCUUCUUCGUAAGUGAGAAGACUGCAUUUUUUCCAUUUAGGCAAAUGUUCAUUCUUGCUGUCCGAAGUGAACUGUACAUAGCUUCAGCCUUUUUGAGGGUGUGAUUUGAAUGCAUGUAAAUUCAUAUUGUAUCUUCUGCUCUAUUACACUAGGAGAAAUGAUAAAAACUGAAAAAUAUGCAGUUAUUAAACCUUUUGGUAGAAUUAAAACAUUUCUGUUAGAAGCACAAAGGAAAGACGUGUUUUUUAUGCCAGUAAAUGUAAUAAGGAUGACUUUUUUCCCUCUUUGAAAUGUCUGUGCCUCUGACAUGCCAUAAGGGAUGAACUGCUGUUUUAACGACCUAGGGGGUUGCUUCUAGAAGUGGUUGCCCUUGGUGAAGAAUAUAUUUGCAAAGGAUCUGAAUGACCUUGUGCUUUUGAGCCAGACGGGUGCUAUUAGUAUGUGAUUUUGCUGAAAAACUCCUGAAGCGGCAGUUGUAUUGUCUGUCACUGCAAAUACAACAGCACUGUAGGAAUAUCGAAAGACGGGCAUUGUAUAAAAAUAGUGCAAGUAGUCCUUGCAAUAUUAUUGCAUCAAAAGUGCAGAGAUUGACACUUUGUUGAUACCAUAACAUUUCAAACGCACAAGCAGGUUUUUUGUGAUCUCUCAUUCAGUGUAGUAGCACAUGCUACACUCAUAACAGGUAUUCCAGAUCUUCUUGAAAACAAAAGGAAGAGAUGUCCUUCCUUUUUCAGCUUGUGGUCCUGUUAAAUCACUGGCCUAUUUGCAAUGGAGAAGUAUGUGGCCAAACUGUGUUUCCAGAUGUGGAACAUCUCUUGAAAUCCUGAAGCUACCAAGGGACAGAGGUCAUUCCUCACCCAGAUAUACUAAUGGUAGAGUCAGUCAUGACUAUUAGAAACAGCAGCAACCUAAAGACUGAACACUUGUAGAAAAGCAAGAAAGAUUGGUAAUGUGUUUCUCAGAGGGAAGUUUUGGGCACAGCAGAGCUAGAACUAGAGUUUUAUUGAUAUUUUCACCAAAAUAAUCAGAAAGACUUGAAUAUGACGGUUGUGGUUUUUGUUAGGGAGCAGGCUGUGAAAAGCAUAAAUGCACAUGAGACUUUAUUCUAUAAAAUAACCAUUUGAAAUUGUCCUUCUUUCUGCAAGACAUCUGAUACUGAUGGGAGCAGAAGGCCUGAGUAGGGGAGACUAUUUUUUGUUCAAUCAGGAAAACUGUGCAAUGCUUUAAGGAGCCAUUGGCAUUAUAAAAUGGUGAGACCAGACACUGGACUGGAUGAUUCCUGUGGGUUCCUUUGACUCAGGCUAUUCUAUAUUCUAGUUUGAGCAUAUCACGUUAGGAAAAAAAAAAAAAAAAAAAAAAAGAAAUCACUAAAAAUCUGUACAUCUAACUUAAAACAAACUAAGAAAACUAUGGGUGUCUGCACGUUACAGCUCUUCUCAGUUCAAUUUCCUGAUAGGUUUGGCAUUCAUUCUGCUUGCUCUCUGGGAUCAACUCUUACAGUGGCUAAAUUCCUGCAUUAGUUAACUCACGUGUGCCUACAUAGAAUCUCUAACCUUGUGCCUAUCUAAACUAUAUUUGAAUGCUUUUCUGAUACUGCAGUAGGAAUCUCUUCUUCUCUUCCUGUUAUCAAAUGCAUGCUGGGCUUUGAUGGUUCCUGAAUUAUCAAAGCCUACAAAACCUGUUCCUACAGAGUGCUGAUACUUUGGCCUUGAUCUACUGAUGCACUUAGGCAUAAUGUUGUGAUCUGUACAUGUACUUAUAUGCCAGUGAACUCGGCUUUCUACGAUAAUGACUUGUAAUUGACCAGGAAACAGAGUAAUCUGAGUGAGCUGUUAAAAUACCAGAACCACCACAGCAGUAGGGAAGAGAAACCUACAAGUUACUUUUUGAAAACAAACUGAGGUUUGUUUUCAAGGUUACACCACAAUACAGUCCAAAGUCUGAAAGGGUGAGGAAUAACACUUCUGAGGGAAAAUAAAUAUUUAAGUGGAAUUUGCCUAUUUUUUUUUUUCUGUGUUAAUGGCUUUCAAUUUUCAGCAUCAAUUGUAGACUGCUUUUCUGAAUUGGAACAAGUCCUUUCUAAAGGAAGGUAUCAUUGUCCUCACUUUACAUUGGCACAGAGAGCUGAGAUGACUCGACCAAUCUCACUUAGCAGAUCAUGUCAUAGCCAAGCUUUCAAUUCUAAAGAAAGGCAGGUGAAUAAUAGUUCUUGUGUGGCAAACAUGCUACAAAAGAAAGGAGUGUUCAGUGAUGCAUUUUAUGGGGGACACAAACUAAUGAGAGUUUGUGAGAUGACAGUGAAGAAGUGUUCUUGAGAAGAGCAUAGGUACCUGGGUAAAUUUAAUGUUUUAGGAGACAUACAUGUUACAAAUAUGUAUACUUGUGUACUGCUAUACAUAGCUUUAUAUAUAACUAUGCAAUAUAUAUAGUAAUACAGACUUUGUAUGAUAACAAAGAAGUUACUAUUUAUACAGAAAUAUAUGUAGUGUUCAGAUUCUGGGGUAAUCCUCAAUUAAACAGCAGUUCACAAGAUAUUUGUGCCUACCUCGAGUUCAAAGCACCUACAUUUUUUUAAGAACUUUAUUUUAGUUAAGUAAGUUAGAAAAGUUUACUAACCACCUGUAAACAAUCACUUAGAUUUAGUUUGGUAUCAUAGAAAGGCUUGGGAUGCAUGGGACCUCAAAGAUCAUCUAGUUCCAACCCUCUGCUAUGGGCAAGGUUGCCACCCACUAAAUCAGGCAGUAGGUCAGGCUGCCCAGGGCCCAUUCAACCUGGCCGUGAAUGCCUCCAGGGAUGGGGUGUCCACCAGUUCUCUGGGCAGCCUGUGCCAGCACCUCAUCACCUUCUCAGUGAAAAAUUCCCCGCUUUGAUACUUCUGAUAUCAAAAACAGUGCAAUAAAACACUUCAUGGAAACUGUUAGGUGCUUUAUAAUUGGCAGAUGUGCUUAAUUUGCCAGCACACCAGCCAAGCCCUGAGGAUUUACAGGGAACAAAAAAAUGUUGGGGUUUCAGUAGCUUUAGUAAUCAUUACUUAAUGGCUGAGAAUUGAUAAAGCCUUGCUUAAUUUAGUUUUCUGUUCCUUCUGUGAAUAGAGAUGGUCAAUCAUUUUUAAACUCUUCACUGUCCUCUGUUAAAGCUGUAGUAUUCUGUGUAAAUAAAUAUAUGUUAGGCUUUGGAGGGAGAGACUGAAUGGAGCAGAAGAAGAACUGAAGUUGUAGGUUUAUCAUGUGCUUUGUGAAUGCCUUGCACUUGAGCUGAAUACUCAAAACACUAAACUGAAAACUCAGAACCCUAUUUGGAAUACUCAAAAAUGAAUAAGAAAAAGGUGUGCUCCAAACCUCAGGGAACAGAAUUUUUUAUGCUACACGCUGUGGUAGCAACAAAAAUGGGAGAGAAAGAAUAAUAGCACCAGGAAAAGGAAGGCAAUGUUAAUUUUAGUGUGAGACAAAACAAAAAUGCACUAUCAGCGAGGAAAAGAUAGCAGAGGAAUUUUAUACAGCUUUAUUGAAGAAAGAGAUUUUUUUUCUUUCUGUUUCACACACUGCAGUCCCUUGUGCCUCCCUCCUCCCUUUCUUGUUAUAUGUUUAUUUCCUCUUGCAUUUUUAUCACUAUACUGCAACUAGAGAAGUAUCUUUCUAUACUAUUUCACUAAAGUUUUGCAACUUUAGCACAAGAAAUACUCUGGCAUUUCCCCCUGGUUAACUUGGUGAGCCCAUUAGUACUUGUUCAGUUGUUCUGAACUCCAUGCUUAUCAGUUGGUGGUUGCAUGCUUUCAGAUCCCAACAUCUGACAGGAAGCAAGGACAGGAACUGAAACAACUUUACUUUUGAUUUACCUGUCAUUUGUGGAUUCAACUCUUAGCAUUUAUGUUCCCCUAAUAUUGUGGUUUCUGAAUUGAAUGAAUAUGAAAUCUAAUUUGUGCUCUCCAGAGGAAAUAGCUGUAACACUUGAACAUGUUACUGUCAGAAGGAUUUGGGUCAAAUAUUGAUUUUUUCUAGUAUGCCAGUAUCAAUCAGUGUGUUUUAAUUUAAUUCAAAAUACCAGGAGCUGAGAGUUCAUAGGAGCUAGAGUUAUACUGAGAUCGACUUCAUUUUCUCAGGUCUACUAUCUCUCAGUCUGCUGACACAGUGAGCAGAAGAGAUAAUUCAGUAUUUUAAGAAACAGCUGGGCUGCUGGAUUGAGAUAGUCUGUAUAUACCCAUUCUGUUAAAAAGAAGAAGCAAUCUCUAAACUGAAGAUGUUCCAGAGGUGCCUGAGAAAGGCAGCCUUCACUGAGUAGUGUUGCGACCAGAGCAACUGGAUUGGAGUGGUAGAACUGAUGGAGGGGAACUUGUUCAGAAGCUUAUUAUUAUGGUGCACAGUAAAACAAAUGCAAACAUCUGAGAUGCCUCAUCUAGAAUAAUUCUAGCAGUGAAAAUUAGAAAAUAGACUGGCUGUGGUAAACUGUAGUUGUAAGUGGAGAGUAAAUGCCAUACCCAGACUUUUCAUACUCAUGUGAAACUGCUGAGUUCACAGAAGUGUUAGAAUGCUCAGAGCACUGAGCUGAAUUCCAGAUGAUUUCUGUAUAUCUACCUGGGAAAAUGCUAGAGAGAUAUGAGAAUGGAUAUAUUUGAUUACUUUACUGGGGUAAAUUAGGAAAUAUGCCCCAAAACUGUAGAUACCCAAGUCUGGAAGUUUUGAGCCAUUAUCUAGGCUAUUAUGGUUUAGUGUGAAAGAGGUGAAAAAACCCUACCUCCAUGUUGGUUCACAACUCCUGUGAACCUGUAUACUUGUUUUUUUCUGAAGCAGAUUUUCUAGGGUACAGUGUUAUGCUGUACCCUCAGCGUGGGGAUUUUAAUAAUUCUGGCAGCAGAUCGAUUUUCUGUAAGAAGAGUUCAGAUGAUGAAAUCUGUUCUCUCUCUAAUGAACACCUAUUCUUACAGACAGGUUCAUUGAGACUAGAGGAAUGAUUUGAGAGAGUGCUAACUAAUUUCAGAGAGACCUCCACAGCCUUGGUCCACUUUGGGAAGUUGGAUUUAAUAGUAUGUGAAAAUGACUGAAACCAAAACCAAGUACAGAGGCGAGAAUUCUCAGUGGUUCCUGUGGAUAUACCUUCAUAGUAGGUGAAAUCCACGUUCUUAUCUGAGGUUUACCUCAAAUCUCCCCCAACUAUUCUUAUCCUCUUAAAUCCAUGCCUGCCUUCCUGCCCACUGAAUAUUGACAUAUUUGCUCAGAUGGAGCUACAGGAGCUAUAGUCUUUGUUCAAGCUUAUCUACUUUGCACUGAGCAUGUAAGUGAAAUUCACUUUGUUUCCCCAAUUCUACUCUUUACCCAAUUCUACUGUUACCCAAUUUACCCAGUUCUACUGUUUACCCAAUUCUACUCUGUAUCUGAAAAUUUCAGACUUUUUUUCUUUCCUCAUGUACCAGAAACUACAUGUGUAUGUGUCUACGUAUGCUUGCCAUUUAAAUCCUCAUUUCAGAUGCUCUACCUCAUAUCUCUUCUGCUUUAUUCAGCUCAGAAACGACAAAAAAAAAUAAUCUGUUUGAUGUUGGUGCUUACUGACCAGGCUGUUAAGUCAUGGUGAUACUCCUAAGCAGAGCAUGUGAAUGAGUACUAAACUCUGCUCACCUCUGAAGGAAAGACAAAGAUUGAUCAUUACAAUAGGCACCCAAAAGUAUUCCAUAAAGAAGUAUUCUGAUUUGCUCUCUGGAGUCUUCACUGACUCCUGUAGAGGAGACCAAAAUUCCUAAUUUGGGGAUACUGGGACUUGGGCAGAAUUUGCUGGUGUAUAUUCCUUGAGGCACCUCCAAAGAGGCCAGCACAUAUUCUAGUAGCAACUUCUCAUCUGUUGAGUCCUGACUUUCUCAUGCCUCUUGCAGCACAAAUUCAUCUGGCACUCCAACAAGAAGACAAACAGCUUUCAGUCUCCAGGCUGGAAGAAGAGCUGUGUAAUGCACAUUUCUUUCCUCCCUGCUGACUUCCUGGUGGUCACUGUUGCUCAUAGUCUGCUGUCUUCCAAUGACAGACACCAGAGCAGAAUGUCCUUUCAGUGCAUGCUCUGGAGUUAUUGCCUGAUUCACUGCAGCUGCUUGUACAACUGUCUUGACCCUGACUUUUUUGUUUUAUCUCUUUGUUCUUUUGAUGUAAAGCCUAGCGUUAAUGAACUACUUAGAGCACACAGGUAUAUGUGGUUGCUAAAUGGGUUUCAGUAUAUUUCAGGACAAAAGAAAUUUGGCUGACAUUAAAGUCUGAGAAACAUAGCAAUUGGCAAAUCUAGCAAACGACUAUCCACAAAGAGAUUGUGGAAUCUGUCCUUACUGUUACAUGUACCCUCAUCCACAGUAUUUGGGGCUGCUUGCUCCUUCAGAUGAAGAUCUAGUGCCCACAGCAGGAAGAGAAAGGAAGAAGGAUCAGACAUGACAUGACUUGAUAAGGUGGAAGCUAUGGUAGGCCAGAUACUAAGGACAUGCUGGAGAUGAAUAUGUGGGGAAAGGAAGAAGCAGAGUCAAUCAUAGACCAGUAAUCACCUGCCAAUAUCUUUCUGCCUGUUACUGAACAGAUAACAUUAAGAAUGGGAGCUCUUCACAGGUGGUAGUCAAUGUAAUAAGUGCUAGAAGAACUACUGUACUGUAAUGUUUUGGCUUACUUUAGAUGGAGCUCAAGGAAGAUGCUGGGGACCUUUCGUUUGACUCAUGUUCAUCCUCUGCGCUGUAUGAUGCCAGGUAGAUCUACACAUGUGACAAAUCUGUGUGGAAGUAACAUUUUACUUCAGCUAAUUAUGAAAUGCAUGUGAAGCUUAUGAUCUAUUUCCCUUGCAUUUUAUUGUUCUUAGCCCUAUUAUUUAGUCAGACUUUUAUGCUUUUAUGCUGAUGUUACUAUUACAACGCUGUCUAAGACAAUGCCAAAAUCCUACAUACUGUACUAUUAUCUGGCUGAGAAGGAGGAAAUUUAUUCUGUUGCUUACAAUUUGUCUUCCUUAAUUCAGUACCCUAUUAAUCUGCAUGCACAUUUUCUCCUUUUUUUUUUUCUUUUUAAUUUGUCUAUUGAUGCUUGAUACUAUGUUAUUUGAGUUUAUUUAGAAGGAACUGAAAACAAACAAGGUUCUUGGCUGAAAGAAGUUUCCAGCUAUGACUCUAGACUCAGUCUUGCUCAUUUGGUGGCAAGCUGCCAAACCAGCAAGUCAUGAAAUCUCUUUUUUUUUCUCAUGUAGAUAACUAGUUUUCUAAUGGGUGUUUGUAAAAAUCACUCUUGCUUCAGGCUUUACCUGAUUCUCUACUGUGUCAUCUUAUUGCCCUUCUAUUUCAGUUCACCCCCAGUGUUUUCUUCCUUGGAGUUUUAUUGCAUUGGCUUUGUGAGGUACAGUCUAGUCUCAGAAUCUUUCAGUGUACCUCUUCUAUCUGUCACAUUGCCUUUUGUCAGUUUUAACUGGCUGGUCCUUAUUUUUGGAGUAUUUAAGGUCAAAACAUGCAGCAACAGUGCUGGAACCUUAUCAGAUAUUAUGUAAGAAUUGCCUUAACUGUUUAGUCAUAUCCACAGUUCAAGUAUAAGUGAAUUACCUUUAUAUUUCUGGUCAUUUCACCUUUUGGUUUAGAUUUUGGUAUAGAUACCAUGCAGUUUAUUCCACGAAUUAGGAAUCUAAGAUCCUAAAGAAUCAUCAGAGCCCCCAGAACAACCAUUUGAAGAAUGGGAGAGUGAGGAAGGAAGACUAGUUGCCACAUACUCCCAAACAGUGCUCAGCAUGAAAGAGCCUGAAUCGCCCUCUGAAUACUUGAUUGACAAUUCAGUGAAAGGAAGCUUCCAAAUCAGCACUUAGCCUAGGUGCAGAGGGUUGGUGGGAAUGUCCGCUCACUUCCCCUCUGCCCCUCAUGCUCCUUUAAUAAGGAGAAAAUUGAUUCCCAGUUUCAGACCUUUGUUCAGUAGCUAAGAGAGAGUGUGGUCUCCCUGGCUGAGUAACAGCUGGGGAAAAAUGAAUAGACCAUAUGCCAGAGAGCAGCCGCCAGAACACUGGGACAAAGCUGUGGAGUACUGCCAAGCCUCACAGUGAAAGGCAUGGCAGUCAGGGUGAGGGGUGGAGGGAAGCUGCUCAAAGCACACUGUCAGGGACCCUGCACUGCUGUACUUUUUAGGGACUGCACUAUGUAAGUCCUGAACAAUGAAAGGAAAAAUGACUUGCUUUCAGAACGUUGGAAAAGAAAGUCACUUAGCCAGGUGGCUCUGACCAUCCUUGUUUAAACUUGCCCAUUUCCCUUUCUUCACCUUUGAGAUCUUUCUCAGGAAAUGCUAGAAAGUUGCAGUUGCUUUUCCUCUUUUGGUGUUUUUUUUUCCAAAAUCUGGUUCAUUUCUGUUUUUUUCUGUGACCUGAUCUCAAUGGCAGAAUGGGAUAUUCUUAGGUGGACAUCAUUAACAGCUGUAGCAAUUCUGCCACAGCUAAAAGAGGAGCUUGGUUUGCGAAGAUUUUUAUGCAAGAGGAAUUGGUCUGCAAUAGAUUCAGUCAAACUUUUUCUUUUUUACCUCCUACCUAUAGACUGACUACAUAUGCCAGUCUGUUCCAGGCCUGUGGAGGAUGUCUUCAGUGCUGAACAGGUGGAACUGAGAGCUGUAGCUAAUGAACUCAGUGAGCUCUAGGAGAGGGAUUAUAGGAAGUAGCCCUCAGGCAAGAAAAAAAAAGAGAUGAAACCCUGGACCAACAUUGUAACCCCACAAGCUGUGGGAAGCAACUACUCUUUUUCACUUGAAAUAUCCCUGUGAGCUGAUGUGGUCCAUUCUACACUUUGUGGUAAGCCUACAUUGACUGGCACAGACUCACUCUGUGGACGUGCAAGUCAAAUAGUAACAUGGUAAGUGAGGAAACAAACUAGAAUUUUGGUGAAGUUUUGAUUUAAAAAAAAAUCAAAGUUUUAAAGUAAGGUAAUUCUUUAUAUGAAGAAGAUAUGGAUGUUAUUAAAAGAUACACUUCAAAUUUCUAGUGGCAGUUACGUUCACAAUAGUUCCAAUUGCAUUUCUUUAAUCAGACAGGUCUCUUCUGAAACUUCCUACUUUUAAACAGAAUAUCUGCUUAGAAAUACCUAAGGAAAAAUAGUGAAAUGAUUCAUGUUAAUCGAUUAUGACUGAUUUAAGUUAAACUUAGUUGCCUACAUUGCUGUUACUUAUUUGUCUAAAAAAACAACUGAAAGCAACUGGUGGGAAAAAAAGGUCUUUUUCAGCAUUUUACACCUUGUUGGUUAUUUCUCUGUAAUGAGUCAUUUCAGAUUCUAGAUAUCCAGUCCACUGUAACUUGUUAUAUAUUGGCUUAUAAUGGUUAAAGGGAAAAAAUAAAUGAGAAUAUACUUCUGGAGUGGCAGUGAUAUCUACCAAAUUUCCUUUUAAAUAUGCACAACAAAAUGAAUUGUUAAAAAUAAUCCCUUGAGGAUGGUGCCUCUUUUGUCAGUUUUCUACCAGAGUGCACUCUGCACUUUGACAGAAAAUUGCUCAUUAAUCUCAAGGGAAUGACCAGUUUUUCAAAAUACUCAACUAUGCUGCCAGUGUUAAUUUUUUAAGCAUUGUGGGUGCCAUUAAUAGCUUGCUGUGGUUUGGAAACAACAGUAAUCCUUUUUGAAUGGGACAUUAACUCCAAAACAAAUCAUUUGCUGUUGUCCAUAUACUGUAAUUAACAGUUACCUUCCAGAAGGUAAGCAUCAUGCCUUUAUAGAAAUCGCCUAGGCUACCAUGUCACUGAAGUUUUGGGUUCUUUCUAGUAUUUCUGUCUCAAGGCACAAAGGUGGGAUACUUUUCUGACAGAGUUGCAUUUGGAGGGGCAGACAUAGCAAAGGUAAGGGGAUCUGAUCUUCUCUUUCAGCCUUCAGCAUUUUUGCUUUCUGAGAUGAAGGAAAAGGUACGGAUGUCUUAAUUUGCUUCUUCUCAGAUGUGUGAGAUAUCACUAUGUUCAGUUAAAAGGGAGUUUGAUAAUUGUUUGGGAUGGAAAAGGCAAGAAAUAAUGUUAUUCUAUCUCAUCCACCUUAAAUUUUGCCUUUGCUACCUCUGCUAAUGUCUACUACAUCUCAUUCCCAGUGGGUGUGGGAGUGGGAGGUGAAGAAAGAGAGAAGAGCUGAGCUUCAUAGAGUAGAAGAACCUGCCAGAACUGAGCUCCUUAAAUGGGAGUUUUGUUAAGAAAUGUCAUGACCUUGUUUUAAGGGUGAGGUGAAAGGAUUGGUUUUCAUUGUCUGUUCCUCAUUUUGAUACUAUUCUUGAUAAAAUAGUAUGGAAUUAAGGGGUGGCAAUGCAUGUAUACAAUAUGGAGCUUGAAAUUUUAGCAGUAGUGUCAGUUUUCAGGCUAGUUUUAUAUGACUAUAAUGUCAGUAAUCUUCUAACUCUUAUUGGUCAUUGGACUCAAUCUGAUUUUCUCUGGGAACAAGCCUGUUGUAUUGAAGUAUGCAUACAUGGGUAAAAAGAUGGGAGAACGUGAAAUAUACUUGCUUUUAUAUUUAAAAGAAUGCUUUUUUCUUUGGUCUGUGCUUAAAAAAGCCAGAUCUAACCUAAAGAAUAAGCCUCUAGUAAGUAAAUUUAGUUGAGAUUUUUAAAAGCACUUCAUGAUUUAAGGUACAUGGCCCCCUGAAAGCCUAAGAAGUUUGUGCUUCUGGGCUGCUAAAGCAUAUUUGAUACGCCUGUUUAUAUUGGAUUCUUUAUAUUGGAUUCACUGGUAGCAUAGCCUGAGUUGAAGCAAAGCUUUGGUGUAUCAUUCCUCCAGGACUGAAAUGUCAGCUCCCGACAUAGUCUCGAAUAUUUUCUUUCUGGAAUGUACUUUUUCAGAAUAUUGCUCAGUGGUAGCAAAGGGCACUUCCCAGUGGCAGCUUCUGCUGGUUGAGAAAUUCGUAACCUGGAAAUGCUCGUAAGUCUUGCCCGCUUUGCUCGAAGAUAGUAAACAUUCAAGCAAAAUUACACACAAGUAAUAUUCCCUGCAGACACUCCAAGGAAGGCACUGGAAUUUCCUAGCCCUGCAGCAAAUAGCUUACUUCAACACGUUUGUCUUAUCUAACUAUUCUUUAUCUAGUUGUUCUCACAGUCUGGCCAUCAGGCCUUACCUCCCCAGUUUGUAUAUGUGCAUCAUGAAGUCUGUAGAAAGGGCUGAUAUUAAGCUACAGUUCAGGUGCUAAGAUCAUAUGCACAGGAUUCUUUGAGUGAUGCUGUUAUCAAGCAGCACUUGAUCUUCUCUGUAUACUUGGAAAUAUUACAGAACUUCCAAUCCUCCCUUCUAAUACAUUUUACCUGUUCCAGGUUUUGGGAAUCUUGAAUUAAUUUGACCCUUUGUGUUCUAAUCUCUUUUUCAGCUGGAGCUCCAUUCUUAUUCUUUCUACGCUUUAGUUUAAUUUAUUUUAUGUUGGGUGUGUUGGUUUUUUUAGAACUAUACAUUGAAUUAUAGGAAUGCCAAAGGUAAAGGAAGUUAACACUUGAGAUAAUAUAGCUGCAUAAAAUUAUAAAGAGAAAUUGUUUUCCACUUAAAUCAGAGGGAUUUUAUACUUCAGGCUUCAUUUAUCUGAUUUUUUUUUUAAAGAUGUCAAUUGUUGAUAUCUUUUUCUCUAAUAGCCAUUCAGAUGUAGACAUAUGUACAAUGAAGUAUAAAUGAUAGUGGAGAAGAUUUAAAACAUAUAUAUUCAGUGAUAUAGUCAAACAUAAUAGGGGCUGUUAAGAGCUUAUAUUAAGUAUUUCGCUGGCCCAGGUAGACUAUUUUCAUGUGGCGAUAGUACUGAUUAUUAUUGAAAAUUAGGACAGAGUUAAGGUUGUUGGCUAUGAAGUCAUGAUAAAGAUUAAAACUGUACAGAAGUAUUUUUGAAACUAAAAGUCAUUUGUUUGAUCAGAAUGUGUUAUUUCUUUUUUACCGAUAGGAAAACCUUCUCACUUCUGCUUGAGAGAUACAUUAGAAGAGGAACAAUCUGUUGGGGUCUGCUGAAAAGAAAAAGGAGCUGACUGUAUUGUGGGGUUCAAAUAGCUGUAAUCUGCAGGCAGAUUUUAUUGAUUGUUUCCCUCCCUUUCUUCCCUAGAAGCUCAGCUUUUCUAGAAGAGAGUAAAGGAUGAGGAGUUAUGCUGACAUUUGGAAAAGGGCUAGGAGGUUGACCUGUGUUCAACAUAUCUGCCAUAAAUGAAUGCUCACCAUGAAGUAGUGCACCCACUGCAAGCAAUGCAGUGAAGUGUUCCAGGGCCAAGAGAGUUCCGUCAUGAAUUUAAGGAAAGGAAUUACUUCAUCCAAAAAGGUCUGGACACCUUGAAACAUUCUGGUAUCUCUAAGGAGGAGAUGAUGCACCUUAGGGCUGCCUUGACCUUGCCUGGGGCUUGAUGAUCCUUGAGGUCCCUUCCAACCCAAGCCAUUCUAUAAUUCUAUAAGGCACUUUCACAUUCAGCAACACCAGUAGAAUGCUUGUUCUCAGACGGAGCAAGUAACCUAUGUAUUGACUUGGAAAUUGAGGUGAGUGUUCCUCCACUUUAAGAAUAGUCAGGAUUAGCAAGUGGUGUGAAGGUAUAAAGUUGUUUGUUUGUUUAAAUGACAGCAUAAGGAAUAUCUACCUGAGCCAUUGUAAUUCAGUGUUUCAUUAGCAUGAGAUGGAAGUCUAUUGAGACUUUACUAUUCCAAGUCCAUAAGAAAAUGGGACAAGGCUCCUAAUUCUUAAUGCAGCAAAACACUUAGAAUGAAGGAGAUUUGAAUCCAGGUUUAAACCUAAACUAAAUCUUGCUGCUUAAGAGGAUUGAAGUUCAGCGUUUGUUGAGUUGAAGCCCAGAAACAAUAAAGCAAUAAAGCAUCUCUUCAACUUUUUUUUUUAAAUUUAAAUUUUGUUCUUCUAAAAUUCCCUGUUCAAAUCUGUGUAACCACCAUCCACAUUCAUUAUGGGAGAAGUGAUGGUAGUUCAGUAGCCAUAGUGCAUCCUCAGCCCCCUGAAUCACACGCUGAACUGAAAUGCUGAAAUAAGCAACAGUAUGGCUUACCCUUUCCUAACCUCUGACUGUAUCGGAAGGAUGAUAAUAUUGCUUAAACCUAAUGUAUAAGAAAGAAAUGGUUUCAUUGUUAUCUGAUGGAGACCCCAUAACAAUGCCACAGUGACAGAGGCUAUAAUGAGGAACUGUAGGAUUUCAAUGGCAAAAGGGAUUCAUUGCUAGUUCAUGACCUCAUGAAGAAAUCAUUACAAUGCCAUCAGAGAUAUGAAGUCGUUAUGGGAAAACUAUUUCAAAGCAAGUCUAGAAGGACCCGUUUGAAGGUGCUGUUAAGAAGUCAUUACAGUGUAAGGUUAUGAUGGCAAAAUGGUUUCAGUGAAACUCUGUUAUAGUCUAAAAAUAAAUUAAAUGGUGUCAGUGAAAAUUAUUCCCCUUCAAAACCUACAGAAAUUAAACAGAUCUCUCUCUAAACCAAAACAAUGGUAAAUUAGAAGUUUGACUGACACUUGAUCAGAAGGAGAGUAUGAGGGCUGUUCCAAAAGUAAUGCCUCCUAUGUUACUAUGUUGGCCCACAAUUUCAGAGGCAGAUGUCAGUGAUAUGACAGUAGAAGCUGAACCUUCUGACAGUAUUCCAUUACAUUUUGUUGUUGUGUGGUAGAUGGCAGUAGAGGGGCAGACUGACAAAAUAGCAUCUGACAUGGGAGUACAUAUGAAGCAAAGGUGCGGAAUUGAAUUCCUGCCUGCAGACACAUAGCACCCAUUGACAUUCACUGACCCUGAGGAGAAGGAUUUGGGAGUGUCAGUUGAUGAAAAACUCAACAUAAGCUGGCAGUGUGCAUUUGUAGCCGAGAAGGCCAACCAUAUCCUGGGUUUCAUCAACAGAAAUGUGACCAGCAGGUUGAGUGGUUCUGCUCCUCUACUCUGAUCCUCUGUGACCCCACCUGGAGUAAUGUGUCCAGAUCUGGGGCCCCCAGCACAGGAAGGACAUGGAGUUGUUCGAGCUGGUCCACAGGAGGGCCACAAAGAUGAUCAGAGGGCUGGAACAUCUCCCCUGUGCGGACAGGCUGAGGAAGCUGGGAUUCUUCAGCCUGGACAAGAGAGGGCUCCAGGGGGGACCUUAUAGCAGCCUUCCAGUACCUGAAGGGGGCCUAUAGGGAAGCUGGGGAAGGACUUUUUAUAAGGAUAUGUAGUGACAGGACAAGGGGAAAUGGAUUUAAACUGGAAGAGGGUAGAUUUACACUAGAUAUUAGAAAAAAAUUCUUUACUGUGAGUGUGGUGAGACACUGGAACAGGUUGCCCAAUGACACUGUGGAUGCCCCCUUCCUGAAAGCACUCAAGACCGGGCUGGAUGGGGCUUUGAGCAACCUGGUCUAGAGGGAGGUGUCCCUGCAUAUAGCAGGGGGGUUGGAACCAGAUGACCAUAAAGGUCCUUUCCAGCCUGAACCAUUCUGUUAUUCUAUGACCCUUGCUGAAAAUUUAUGGAGACCAGACAGUGGAUGUGAGCACAGUGAGGUAGUGGGUGGUGAAUUUCAGCAGUGCUGACAGCAACAGUGGGUCACCUCCACUGGUGCAGAUUUUUACGACUGUAGCAUACAGACUUUUGUUCAUCACUAGCAAAAAUGCAUAGCUAAUGCUGUUGUCUAUGUUGAAAAAUAGUGUUUAGUAGCUGAGAAUUUGCUUUAUCAGAUACUGUUAUUGUGCUCUUUGGAUGUGUUAUCGUUUCCAUUGAAAUAAAUAGGAGGCAUUACUUUUGGAGUGACAUACAGAAUUAUGAAUUCUUAAAGCAAUCAAAUAAAAUUUUGGCUGGAGUUACCCAGCUGGAAAAUAAUGUCACUGAGUUUCUAGGAUCUUCUUUAAUUUUGUAAAUUAAAAUGAAAUAUCAUCCUCGCAUCAAAGUUUAUAGUAAAUAUCAUUCUUCUGUAUCUUCCUUGUUGUAUUGCAAAUUAGUCUAUGAGCACUUUUUGUUUUUCUUAUUGCAUUUCUGACUUGCAUUUGUUCUGAUAGGGCAUAGAUCUAAAAUAAAUUAAAAUUCCACUGCCACUCCUAGCCUAGAAUUUUGAGUGACAGUUGAGACUGUCUGUCAAACUAAAUAGUCUAUUUCAAAACAGUAAAAAUCUCCCCACCCAAGACUCACUUCUCAUCAGUAAUGUGGUUAGUAUUUAUCUGGUUUAAAAUCCAGCCUGAUCUGAUCAUCUACUCUAUCACUGGUGCUGGAUGGGAAUAAAAUGUACAUUUAGGAGUUGUUUUGGAUGAUUGUACCCCACUACCGAAUAAUUAGAAUAAUAUUUUCACUAAAAGGAAUGUAUUCCUGAAGUACCUCUGAGAUACCAAAAAAAAAAAUCCAAAUUUUCUUCUUGUGUUUUUUUAUUUUCAGUGAAUAGCUGCCUAUCUGCUGUCCAAAAGCUCAGCUAGAUCUGAUGCAAUACCGUAGACUUUAACUUGGGGCUGCAUGAAUAUUGUGUCAUUUGGGUGCUCACUGCAACUUGGAAGAGAAGAGGAUAUCCAGCACCAUGAGGACAGAAAGUUUCCUAAGGCCAAGAAAACCUUUUUGAAAUGAAAGAUUUCAGCAAAAUAUUCCAGAUUUGACAAGUAUGCCUUUUUUUUUUCCCUCUACAUUUUGAAAAAAAAUCUGAAAGUAUUUCCAUGAGUUGUUGUUAAUGCUUUUGUUAAAUGUCUUGGAACAUUGUUACUGAUUAUGAAACCUACAGUCUUAAAAAGGAGUUUCAAAAUCAGUCACUUAGGUUGGGGGCUCUCUUUAUCCUCCUGUUCAGUAUCUGUAAAAUUAUGUGGGAGACUCAUGGGGGUCACUGUGUCCAUAUGAAACCUUAUGAAUAGUAGUUGGCAUGCCAUUAGUAAUCUGGCAUCCAUAUAUUUGAAGACAGCUUGAAGUAUAAUCAUCAUUGCAUUUUUUCCUACAUCUUUGCCUCAACAUAGGCAUUUUUGGAGAGAAAGGCCAAAAUUCACUUUAGCUGCUGAUGAAUCUCAUUCUCUUGCAAAAUCUAGAGUAGAAAUCAAAUUCUUGAACAACAGUUUCCCUCACAAAAACCAAUCUCUUUUACACUUGUUUGAUUUGCACCUUUUGCACCUCCUUUGCAGGCUCUGUUACAUUGGUGCUCGCUUUUUUUGUGGAACACAUGCCAUUUCUGUACAAUGACAGCAACAGAAUGUUGUAUUAGCAAAUGAUUCAUGAGCUCUAAAUUUCCCAUUUCAGACAAACUAGAAAUUAUAGAUUUUUUAAAAUGAUUUUGGUAUUAAAAACUGUGGCCCAGCUAUCAGUUCAUCAGUCAAAUAAAUACCAUCUAAUAUGAUAAAGGAUGGAUUUUGUUUUCUCAUGUGUUGUGUAUGCAGAGUAAACAAGCUCUCCCACAAUUAGUAAGGAAAGUCUCUCUGCAGUAUUAUAGAAACACAUAAUAUCCCAACAUCAAGUGUCCCAAAUUCUGCCAUCCUCAUUCUUUUCAAGAUCUUAAUAAGUUCAAAACUUGUUUGUCAUCCUUGGAAGAAUACAUCAAUCUCUGUUAUCUCUGAUAAUGAGGAGUUUAUUCUGGAGAAUUGGAUAUCACAGUUAGUAUGAAACACAUUGCAGGGGGAGAUCUAGAGGUCUCUGAGUAUGCCUGCAUGCUGCCAGCUUAGCUCUGCCUUUGAUAGAAUUGAGUUGGAGGUGAUAAUUCUUCCUGUGCUCACAAUUCCUGAUGAUUACUUGGAUACCUGUAUCACAGUCCUACUGAGGUGGAUGCUGGGAGUGUGUACUGCCUGAGGCACUGUUCAACACGGAGUCUGCUUGUGUACGUGCAUGUCAUACAACAUCUGAGAUUCUGUGAGAGGUGGAGUGCAGCAAAACAUGGGAUAAACUGUCCCCACAUCUGCAGAUCAUGCUGCUAUUCACAGGUCACAGUCCUUGCAUGAGAACAGAUACCUACAAAGAUGCUUCUCAGAUGCUUCAUCUAUGAGCAGUAGGUUUAUGAUUACAAUACUUGACAGGGAAGGGAAGUUUUCAUUCUGGGUUUAAUUUGGAUGAGAGUGUUCAAAUUCCAUGUCUUUUCUGUCUCUGCAGAGUGCCAUGCAGUGCACUGCAGUACCUGCAUGGUGUGUUCACGCACUUACUCUGGCCUUCAAAAGUCAUUUUACCGCUGUUGGGAUUGUGGACUGAGAAGCGAUGUGGGUUUCAGGCCUUAGAUAUUGUCUGUCUGUAGACUGUGAAUGAAAGAGGUGCAUUGUCUGAUGGUUUUUAUUUCUGUGAUUAGCCAACAUACUGCUGUCCUUCCCUUCUUUCACCGCAUCCAGCUGAUGGGCUAAUGGCACACAUGCAUGCACACAAAAAGUUAUUAGUCUUCUAAGUUUUGUUCUGCUUUUUUUUUUAUUCCACAAUCAUCCUUCACACCUUGAACUCUUCUGUUUUGAUGGUGAUUAUUAUCUUUGUUUAAUCAGUGAAUUUAAUGACAACUCUCCUCCUUUUAUCCCCUCCAGAAGUAGCUAAUGGAGAUACUACAUAGGAUCUGUCAAAUUAGAUAAAUGUACCCAUAAUAAAAUCUGUGAGUUGUCUCUCUUUAGCUUGGUAACGUCCCUUUCAAAUGAACAUGGAAGAACAUGCAGAUGAAGUCAAAUCUCCGUUGACUGGUUUGUGACCAAUGGGACAGACUUUCCAGGAAUCCUUUCACCUGCCAGCUGCAGGAACUAUUUCCCACGUGAUACUGAAAUUCAUACAGUAAGAUGAGUGCCUGUUCUUUGCUUGAAAGUCAGAACAUUGUAAUUGUUUUGAAGAUUAAUUUGUUCCAUUCCAAUCAUCAUUACUUUCCUAUCUAUUUCUUUGUUGAUUAUUUAGUGGAAUAUUUUCUUGAUACUCAGUCUGACCACUGCAGUUUGAUUAAUGUUUUUACAAAAAGUAGGAUAAAUAUAAGUAGAGAUUUCUUUAAAAGGAAUACGGUUGAGUAGAGUGGAGAGAGAAAGAUUUUAUAUAGUGCAAGAAAUUGAUAACAAAAUUGACUACAGGAAAUACUGAUCUCUCUACGUUGUGGGUCAGUUCUUAAAACAUUUGGUGCAAUUUAUUGCAAUUUAUAGCAAUUGCUGUUCUCAUGCUAAGCAUCAUUGGCAUAGGUGAUUAUCUGAUGGAACUUCAGAGUUUCUGGAUUUCCAAAGUCUUGACUCUAGUAUUUUUUUUCUUAAUUAUUGUUUCAAAGAAACAGCUUCAAGGAGCAGGGUCUCUCUGUCUCUAUCUAAAAGAUGGCCUGGGUAUGCUUUCCUUUGUGUCCUGUAUUCCCACUAGAUUCGUUGAUCUUUCCUUGGUUGACCACAGAGAUCUUCUAGUUCCAACAUGUGAGUUUCUAUACAGACCUACAGAGGGAUGGGGAACAUCCCCACCCUAUCCUGCCAUACAUGGUCAGGAUAAAGAACUGUAUUAACAGUUAGUAGGCAUGUUGAGUUACAGCAGUUGAAGACAUACUUUAGCCAUAUAUGUAGAAAGUUUAAAGCAUCACACAUUCUCUUCUCACUAUAGCUUUGCUAUAAUGUUAACAAAUGCAUCAUUUAAUUGAUAAUAGCUGGUGUUCAAAGCUACCAUUCAGGGCUUAUCUGCACUUUAUUAUUACUGUUUUUUUCUGUUUUCACUCCUCAAGUAGCAACUGCCAGGUGGAAAUGUAAAAGUAAAUAAAAUAAUAGAUUGUACCUGCAAAUACAUGUGGAGCAUGUUUACAAAUAUGGAAAUGACUGCUGGACUGCUGGCAGUUGGUUAAUGAAAAGUCAAACUCUUUGGUAAACACAAGUAUUUACCAUUUUGAAAAAGCAUUGUAAGUUUGGAGGAAGGAGCACCUUUGUGUUAGUAUUAUCUGUAGCUUUUGGGAAGAAAAAUAAGAUACACAGUGUUGUUUACAUUUUGUUUCAGUCACACAGUGAUCAGACAUGAGUCAAACCCUUUUAAACAUAUUUUCCUGACUACAAUGUACUGUUUCAAAGGGUUGAAGAUAUUAAAUAUAUCUUAUAUAUAUAUAUAUAUAUAAUAUAUAUAUUAAAGAUAUUUCAUGAAGUUCUUAUUUCAUGGCACAGUUACAAGUAGAUAUUUCCUUCUUCAUUUUCACAAUGUCCUUCCUCUUCUCACUGAAUUAAAAUGGUGCCCUCUAGAAAAACAGGGAAGAAAAUAUCUUGCUGUAGAAAUGGGCUAUGCACAAGCACUUAGACAAAAUCUGUCACAUAGAAAAUACAGGAUCCACAGCAACAAAUCAUGUCCAGAAGAAAUUGGUAUAAAUAAAAUAGAUAAAUUUAUUUAUAAAAUUAGGGAAUAGGGAAGAUAAAAUUAGGGAAACAUUUGCAAGGGUGGCCUACCAGAGACAAGGAGGUGUAAAUGAAUAGAGUUCUUUUAAACUUUUCCCUAGUAGUGCUAUUAUUGUUAUUACUAUUACUAUGACUACUAGUACUAAUACUACUAUUACUACUACUACUACUAAGUUCUAUCCUGGAGUGCUUAUGCCUUGAAGUAUAACAGUUCUAUCCUGGAGUGCUUAUGCCUUGAAGUAUAACAACUCUUCAGAAAAAGAUAGAGAACAAUCUAGAUUUUAGCAAUACUUUCAUGUAGUUUUAAAGUUGUUGCUUAUGUUCGUAGUGGCAGAAAUCUGCAGACUCUGAGGGAAAGUGUCAGCAAGAGUUUGCGAGAACAUAGGUAUAUGUCUGGGUAGUAUGGAAUGUGAAGUCAUGCAAUAGGUUUUCAGAACUGUCACUGCCCAGAAGAUCCACAUGCAUGUGUACUAGGGGCUGAAAUCUAUUGCAUCAACAAGGGCAAAAUUACAAAGAACCAUAACAAAAAGUUUUAGAUAGUAGUUUUUUUAAUAGAAAGAAAUUAUGUAGGUAUUUAUAUGAGGAAAAGCUGCUAAUGUUCUGCUUGGGCUGACAGGGAUAAUAAGGGUGGUAACAGUUCUAAGCACCAUUCAUAGAUUGGGGUUGAGUCUCGCUAGGAAGUGAAGGAGUAAUGUAACUUGGGCAGACCCAUAGGAAAGAAGAACAAAAAUCUUAACAGAGACAGGGAACCAGAGAGAAGGGAAUGUACACGAACAAAGCAAAAACUCCAGGUUAAAACAGCUAGGUGUCAGAAUUAGCAGUAUCCAUGAGAGUGAGAAGUAUCUAUGGGAAAAUGUGAAAGAAGAUGAAGGGCAAAAGAGGGAACAGAAUGCAGAAGUGGGCUGUGAAUCAGCAGCACAGAAUGACCAGAGCAAUAUGUGAGAAGGGAUAAAAUAGUAGAAAUUAGUGGUUUGAUGUAAGGAACACUUUCAGCAGAAUGGGGCCAAUGGACUAGAAGAUGCUUAUAAUGGCUAAAUCAUAGGUUUUGCAGAGUACUAUUACAGCAUUUUGACAGUGCUCAAUACAGACAAAACUGAACUUUCUUUGCUUUCUAAAUUGCAGGUAAUGCCAUUAAUUAAAAGUCUUUUUUUAUAGAAAGGGGCUAAGACGCUUAUAUGUUCCUUUCAAACAACCAUCUUCUCCCAAAUCUGAAUCUCUUUCUCUGUAAUUUUAGCCUGAAAUGAUAAAGAUUUGAAUAUUUAUUUAUUUAUGAAAACAUAUCUGUGAUUUUUAUCUUGUCUGUUCACCUUGUUUUCUGUAUCUUAUUAUUUCUGUAUAACUUUUGAUGCUGUUAUUCUUCCAUCAAGUGCAAAUGCACUUCAUCCUCAGAAGAACUGUAGAUUAGACAAAUAAUUUUCUCUAUGAAAAAGCAGAAUUGAAGAUGCAAAAUUAAGUUUCGUUAAAAGUUCAUGUACAGAGUGAGUUCUUGAUUUCUAAACACUGAAAGUGGAUAUUUCAUAUGGAAUUCAGCGAAUAGUUUCUCUUCAGUUCUUUUAAGCAUAUAAUGAUUCUUGUGUUGCAUAAGUGAUGGAAUUAUUGGCUCCCCUGCCAUGCCUUAGCUGAUGUCCUGUGGUUCACCUGGCUUGAUUCAUGCUAGCAAUCUCCAAAUCCAACAACAGUGCCCAAGUUUCAAGCAAAACAGGUAAUAUUUUUUUUCUAGUUAGUGCACUUUGCUUGUCUAUUAUGGGGAAAAAAAAAACAAAAACAAACAAACAAAAAACCUAAACCAUAAUGAAAAAGAAAAACAGUUGUGUACACUGCUAGGCUAGAAAUACUAUGAGAAGCUGUUGAUGUAUGGGGCAAGAACUGUCAAAUCAGAAGGCACAUCCCCUUAGUGAGUCAUGGAGAUUUGUUGAUUAAAAAAACAUUUAAGUACAUGUUAAUGAAAUGUUUUGUUUCACUGUGAGCCUUUUAUUAUACCAAACCACUAGAAGUUUUCUGCACUUUUCUGAAGUCCUGCAGUAAAACAUGAAGUGUUGGGAGCAACUUCUUGAAGAUGCAUUCUCUACUUAACCCAGUUCUGCUUGAGAAUCUAAAAAAGAAUCUAAUCUGUAUGAAUGUUAUCUGAGAGAAGUGAAAAAAAAAACAACCACAUUCCUCUUUCAAACUGUUUUGAUGUACUUCUAUCACAUCAUUCCUUCCUCAUCUCUCUUACAAGCUGAAGUAUCUUAUUUAAAAUGUCCUCAGAUGAAGGAAUUCCUAUUGGUAAUCUUUCCAUUACCCUACACUCUUCCUUUACAGGUUCCAUCAUACCUUUUUGGCGAUGAAAAGUACUGGAUGUAGUGUUCUAAAUGUCUGCCCACCAUGCAUUUAACAUGGUAAUAUAAUGAUGUUUCCUGGUUUGUUUGCUACACCUUUUCAGUUAAUUCCCUUCCAUAAUAAUAGUUUCUUCAUCUGACAAUUGCUGGCCACUGAGCUAUCUUUUUUUUCUGAGAACUGUUCGUAUGAAGUGAUCAUAAAAUGUACAACUUCACUGAGGAGCUUUUACUGCCUUUUUUAUACUUCUCUCUAAACUUACGCUAUUGGCCUCAGUUGGGCAGAGUAUGAGGCCAGACGGGCCUUACUCAGAAAGGCCAUUCUUAUGUUAUGUUCUUGAGCAGCAGGAGUUAAUAUAUAGGCCGUCAGUAUAUUACUUUUGUUUUUCCCAUGCUUAUGGUUUUGCAUUUAUCAAUGUUGCAGUUCAGCUGACAAUCCACUUGUUAAAGACUGGAGACCUUUUGGACGUCUCUAUCAUAGCUCCCUGGGAGACUACCUUAGUAAAAUUCCUCCAGAGUGUAACUGGCCUUUUAUUCUUGGUCAUUUACUCUGUCAUUUCAAAAAUAAUUUAUUUAUGCAAGGACUUUCUCUUCUUAUGUGUAGUAGGUUUGGUUCUUUAAGAGUCUAGCAAAGGAACAUCUUCAGAUCCUUUUGUAUCAACCUUCUCCUUGAAGGUUGAUACCUUUUCUCCGCUGCAUGCUGCACCUUGAGUACUGUGUCCAGUUUUGGGCCCCUCACUGUAAGAAAGACAUCGAGGCCCCGGAGCAUGUCCAGAAGAGGGCAACAAAGCUGAUGAGGGGUCUGGAGCACAGGCCUUAUGAAGAGCAGCUGAAGUAGCUGGGAUUGUUCAGUCUAGAGAAGAGGAGGCUCAGGGGAGACCUUAUUGCUCUCUAUAAAUACCUGAAGGGAGGUUGUAGUGAGCUGGGGGUCAGCCUCUUCUCUCGGGUGACUAGUGCUAGGACUAGAGGGAAUGGCUUCAAGCUGCGCCAGGGAAGAUUCAGGCUGGACAUUAGGAAAUAUUGCUUCUCUGAAAGGGUAGUCAGGCACUGGAAUGGGCUGCCCAGAGAGGUGGUGGAGUCACCGAGCCUGGUGGUGUUCAAAGAGCGUUUGGAUGUUGUGUUGAGGGACAUGGUUUAGCGAGAACCAUUGGUGAAGGGCGAAUGGUUGGACUGGAUGAUCCUGUGGGUCUUUUCCAACCUUAGCGAUUCUAUGAUUCUCCACCUGUUUUUUUUGCUCUUUCAGAGAACUUCAAUCUGUGAGACCUGAUUCCUAGUACAAAAUUAAAUUCUACACCUACUUGUUGUUUUAGAUUUGUAUCUAAUUCCAUGCUUUCUUCUAGAUCCAACCACUUUAUCUAGCAUGAAAAUUGUCAUCUGCAGUUUCCAGUUUCUCUGAGAUCUUUCCAAAAGUUGAAACAUUUUCAGUGCCAAAGCUAAUGUAGCUAAACUACAACUUGCAGAGCAUAGAUUUUUAUGGACAUAUGGAUGAGUUCAGUCUGGGCUGGUCUGUUCAGGAACUCUGUGCUGACUCUCAGCCUUGAAGCCACUCUUAAACAGAUUCCACUCUGCAGAGAAAGACUGCAAAAUGGAAUUCUUAUGUAUAAUGGACAAUAACACACACCAAUCAUUUAACUAGUUUGUUAUUGUCUUAUCUUUUUUUAUUUUUCCUGAACAUUUUGAACAUCACUGGUGACCACUGGCUGGCCUUCUAGUUCUGUGCUGAGAAAGAGGUGUGUUGUUUGGGUUUUGGUUUUUUUUUUUUUUUUCUUUCCAUAAUUUUCAUGCUUUUAAAAGAUUACUUCCUUAAUCGUUUUGACUUUCCUUAUUGUUGUUUGAUGUUUAAAUAUUUAAUUUAUUCUCUUUCUCAUUUCUCUUAUUUGGACAAAGCUUCUAUUUUCAGUGGAACACCUCCUUUAAAACUAUUCUUUGACAUAUCCACGUGUGAGGUUGGGGUAAGAACACUUCUAAAAUCUUUUUGCUGAGUACUGUGCUUUCGCUGUGAUGUCUUUUAAGUUUCCGUUCUGUUUACAAGCACCUUAUUCUUCCACUGCCACUUUUAUUUUGGCUUUAAUGGGCUUAUUUAUUUCUAUGCAGUUCCCUAUUUCCAGACUCAGUGCUGCAGUUUCUUUUUUGCUCUUACUGGGAGGUUGAAGAUUACCUUGUUACUAUAGGAUGCUUCUUUGACAAAGACUUCAUGAGCAGAGUUCGUGCUCAUCCAAGACUACACCGAGGUUACUGUCUUUUUCUGUGGGGAGUCUUGACCAGAAUUUUCAUCAGUGUCAGUGUUUGAUCUUUUUGCUGAUGCCAACAUUCUGCUUCAGGUAGUGAGAAAAGCCAAAGGCCUCUGGACUGGUUUCUUGUCUAAACAGAGGUUGCACGUGAAACAGCUCUGUUGUAGUGUGCAGUCAGUCUGGUCAUGUGAAAAUGACUUGGAAGAUGAUGGUUGUCCAAACAGCCCCAGCUGAUUUAUAUCCUCUCAUAGCUGUGAACUGAUACUCUUCAGUAGUUGCUUUGCUAGCCAUGAUUAUGAUGUAGCACAUGGGCAUGACGCAUAUGAUGAAUACUGAAGAUACAUGUACAAGCUGCAUGUAGUCCAAGAGCCAUAAACUAUUCCUCCUGACUUUAGAGGUAAGCUUUUUUGUCCUUGGGACACACUUGUGGCUGUGGCCAUCGAUGAAAUGCAUUUUUGUAUCCCUGCAGGCCAGUAGCAAUUUUUAGCCCUUUGAAAUGUGAAGGAUAUUGUGACUCCUUUACUGAUAGAUCUGUUCUUGGAUUGUCCCCUGGCUUGGAUUAUUCUGUGGUAGAUAAAAAAUAUGACUUUUUAUAGGGCUGUGAGUUCCCUAAAUCAGGAAAUAUCUUUUCUGAAUAAUUGGACAUCACUUAAUAGGCAUCACUGCAAAUGCAUUAAUAGUGUAACACCCUCUACUUCAUCCUUUUGACCUCAUCUACAUCAUGUAUAUUUAUUC
Molecule: long non-coding RNA, 32759 nt
Filed under: Gallus gallus (chicken)
Lineage: Eukaryota; Metazoa; Chordata; Aves; Galliformes; Phasianidae
Source: RNAcentral